RNAcentral lists this ribosomal RNA (115 nucleotides) under uncultured bacterium. RNAcentral's name for it is "partial 16S ribosomal RNA". It matches the Rfam family "Bacterial small subunit ribosomal RNA", at positions 241 to 353 of the family's 1533-position model. The record is from RNAcentral.
UUAGCUGGUUGGUGAGGUAACGGCUCACCAAGGCGACGAUCAGUAGCCGGCUUGAGAGAGUGAACGGCCACAUUGGGACUGAGACACGGCCCAAACUCCUACGGGAGGCAGCAUG